CUCCCUGCCUGAAUCUACCAGCCAGCGAAUGACAACUGACUGAGUAUAAAUACUAGGACUACAGAACCGUGAUAAAAGGAGCCUGAGCUGAGUCCACACACUGGAAGCCCAGAACUGAGGGAACAGAUGAAAGAAAGAAAGUCAGCAGGUUUAGGGGAUGAGAACAACUCACAAAGGACAAGCCAUUGGAGUCUCCUGCCCCUGGCCAGGGAGAGCCACAGGCUGGAUGACAUCUGGUUUAUAGUGAGGGGCAGCAGCAACUCCAAGAGGGGGAAGAUGUGACCAUGAGCCCCGCCCCAGACCCAGGAGGCUUGACCUUGGGGCUGCCGUAGCAGUGGAUGCUCUUCAGCUGAAUGACCUAUCCUGGGCCCGUGACCCUGGACUUCAGCCAGAUCAGCAUCUCAAGCUCCCACCCAGGUGGCCUGUCCUCACGGGCCUUGGAGUGGAGACUUGAGCCACCAACUGUCAGAGGUGGAGACUUCACAGGCACAGCUGGAGCCAAGAACCCUGGUGCCCAAUUGUCUGUGACUGCAACUGGAUCAAGGGUUUGACUGUGGCUAUGGCUUAGCCAGGCAGGAUGUUUCCUCCACCACCUGCAGCUUCACAACCAACGGUGAUCCUGGGAACCAAUGGCCCUUCCAAGAGCUGGGUUUAGAGCCUUCCCUUGAAUGAAGAACCCUCCCCAGCUGGAAGGUGAUGCUAUUGAAGGCUCAGCUGACAACAUACAUGGGCAUCAAGUCAUUGGCCACAUUCAUGCCUCAAGUGUCCUAAAACCGAAGAUGAUCAAAAGAAAACUGCUGUUCAGCAAGUGGAGACUGGCAUGCAGAUUCCCUGGCCUGCAAGCUUAGAGCAGG
This 854-nucleotide long non-coding RNA is filed under the name Homo sapiens (human). RNAcentral describes it as "HSALNT0295232". The record is from RNAcentral. Lineage: Eukaryota; Metazoa; Chordata; Mammalia; Primates; Hominidae.